UNUGACUUGAGUGCAGAAGGGGAGAGUGGAAUUCCAUGUGUAGCGGUGAAAUGCGUAGAUAUAUGGAGGANCACCAGUGGCGAAAGCGGCUCUCUGGUCUGUCACUGACGCUGAGGCUCGAAAGCGUGGGUAGCGAACAGGAUUAGAUACCCUGGUAGUCCACGCCGUAAACGAUGAGUGCUAGGUGUUAGGCCCUUUCCGGGGCUUAGUGCCGGAGCUAACGCAAUAAGCACUCCGCCUGGGGAGUACGACCGCAAGGUUGAAACUCAAAGGAAUUGACGGGGGCCCGCACAAGCGGUGGAGCAUGUGGUUUAAUUCGAAGCAACGCGAAGAACCUUACCAGGUCUUGACAUCCCGAUGCUAUUCUUAGAGAUAGGAAGUUACUUCGGUACAUCGGAGACAGGUGGUGCAUGGUUGUCGUCAGCUCGUGUCGUGAGAUGUUGGGUUAAGUCCCGCAACGAGCGCAACCCUUAUUGUUAGUUGCCAUCAUUAAGUUGGGCACUCUAGCGAGACUGCCGGUAAUAAACCGGAGGAAGGUGGGGAUGACGUCAAAUCAUCAUGCCCCUUAUGACCUGGGCUACACACGUGCUACAAUGGUCGGUACAACGAGUUGCAAGCCGGUGACGGCAAGCUAAUCUUUGAAAGCCGAUCUCAGUUCGGAUUGGAGGCUGCAACUCGCCUCCAUGAAGUCGGAAUCGCUAGUAAUCGCGGAUCAGCACGCCGCGGUGAAUACGUUCCCGGGCCUUGUACACACCGCCCGUCACACCACGAGAGUUUGUAACACCCGAAGUCGGUGAGGUAACCUUUUAGGGGCCAGCC
RNAcentral lists this ribosomal RNA (819 nucleotides) under uncultured bacterium. RNAcentral's name for it is "bacterial SSU rRNA". It matches the Rfam family "Bacterial small subunit ribosomal RNA", at positions 636 to 1454 of the family's 1533-position model. The record is from RNAcentral.